AGGGUUUGAUUAUGGCUCAGAACGUACGCUGGCGGCACGCCUAACACAUGCAAGUCGAACGCAGUAGCAAUACUGAGUGGCGAACGGGUGAGUAUAAUGUGGGUAUCUGCCUUUUGGUUUGGAAUAACACGAGGAAACUUGUGCUAAUACCGGAUAAGCCCUUACGGGGAAAGUUUUAACGCCGAAAGAUGAGCCCGCACUUGAUUAGCUAGUUGGUAAGGUAAUGGCUUACCAAGGCUACGAUCAAUAGCUGAUCUGAGAGGAUGAUCAGCCACAUUGGGACUGAGACACGGCCCAAACUCCUACGGGAGGCAGCAGUGGGGAAUCUUGCACAAUGGGGGAAACCCUGAUGCAGCGAUGCCGCGUGAGUGAAGAAGGCCUUUGGGUUGUAAAGCUCUUUCGUCGGGGAAGAAAAUGACUGUACCCGAAUAAGAAGGUCCGGCUAACUUCGUGCCAGCCGCCGCGGUAAUUC
Molecule: ribosomal RNA, 472 nt
Filed under: uncultured bacterium
Lineage: Bacteria
Description: bacterial SSU rRNA
Rfam family: Bacterial small subunit ribosomal RNA
Source: RNAcentral